This 1640-nucleotide unclassified non-coding RNA is filed under the name Leishmania donovani. RNAcentral's name for it is "gene:LdHU3.21.2020(CDS-product:hypothetical_prote in_conserved)". The record is from RNAcentral. Lineage: Eukaryota; Euglenozoa; Kinetoplastea; Trypanosomatida; Trypanosomatidae.
CACAAAGAGGCCGGCCAUCGUUCCCGGCUCUCACACACCAGAUCCUUCACUCGCACACACGCGCAAGCGCUGACACAUAGCAUGCUUGCGAAGCGCCUUUCCGCACCUGCACUGCGGCGCGCGCAGAGCGCGUCGUCGCCGUCGCGGUGCGUGGUAGCUGCUCCUGCUGCGGCGUGCGCCCCUCUGUCGUGGUUGCGCAGGCACUGCAGCAGCGCCGCGGUGCAAGCAGGCUCCUCUGCUCGGGCAGCGCCGGUGUCGGCCGUCAAUGUCGAGGAGUUCACCCUCAAUGAAGAGGUGGCGAAGCAAGACCUGGCCUACAUGGCCAAGUGGAACGCGCUGUCGGAGGAGAUCGAGGCCGCUCGCGCAUCUGGCGAUCACACGAAGCUGCUUGAGCAUGUCCAGGUCGGCCUGCAGAUGCUGAAGGAGAUCGGUGCCACGAACGCGCCAAUCCAGUGCGAGAGUCUGCUCUGCAUGGAGGCCUCUCAGGCGCACUACAAAAUGGGGCAAUACGACGAAGCCCUCCGGUGCGCCGAGAAGGCGCGCGAGUCUCUCCUGCGCGACUGCAAGGCUGAGCUGCAGGACAAGGCGCAGAUUGCUGAGAUAGAGGUUUUCAUGGGGUUCGUGCUGUGCAAGCAGGGCGGCCACGGCGCGGCGGUCGAGGCACAGGAGCUACUGCAGAAAGUGCUGCGCUGGAUCGACGUAGAUGCCAAGUCUGCCAUGCCGAUGCAGGCGGUGGCGGCGGUGAACCUGCGCCGCUCCGUCCUUACUGGUCUCGGCCUCAGCACGACGGUGCAGGCCACAACCCUCGCCAGCAAAGGCGAGACGGCGGAGGCAAAGGUGCUGUACGCCAAAGGACUGGACACGUUGAUCGAGGCGCUGAACCAGCACAUUGAUGAGAACGACUUUGAGCUGGUGAAGAUGACGCUCGAGGCGAUCCUGGCUUCCUUUGAGGGCCUCGAUGAUGUGUCGCAGGCAGUGGCAACGUGCCGCAAAUACAUCAGCUGGUGCAGGCGCCACGACGACGCGAGCGGCGUGGCGGACGGCGAGGCGAUGCUCACGGCGCUGUGCGCUCGUCAGAGGAUUGAGAACCCGCUGGAGACGGAGAAGGCAAAGGAGGCCGAGGAGGCAGAGAAGUAGGAGUGUCCCCAAACAAAUCUGCAGUCGAGCCCGCCUCGUGAUGGCGCAGUGGCUCGCUGCUGCGCGCUCGUGCGCCUCACCUCAGGCGUGUGUCGGCGUCGUUGCCGUGUUGCCGCCGCUCCCUCCGCCACCCUCCUCUUUCGUCUCAGACACGUUUCCUGUGAGGCUGUGGCGGUGAGCAGAGGAGUGUGCGGAGAGGAAGUGAAUGGAGGGGGGCGCAUGGCCCUCUUUUCGUCCUCCUCUACUUUGUUCGAUUCCGUUGUUGCUCUCACAUGCCGUAGGACCUUCCUCCUUCCCCCAUCAUCUUCCUGCUUCCUCUGCCUUCAUGACUGUUGGCCCCCUUGAUGGAGUGGUGUAUGCGUACGCGUGUGUGUGGGGGGGGGGAGGGGGGUGCGUGCGGUGGAGCCGUCCAUUGCCCACCCGGCGUUUUGUACCCAAAUCUUUAAGUUGUUCUCUGUUAAUGUCGCGAAGGUGACGCACCGACGUGUGGUGCCAGGCAACAC